CCUACGGGAGGCAGCAGUGGAGAAUAUUGGGCAAUGGAGGCAACUCUGACCCAGCAACGCCGCGUGAAUGAUGAAGGUCUUCGGAUUGUAAAGUUCUGUGAUGGGGGAUGAACACAAUGACGGUACCCCAAUAGCAAGCCACGGCUAACUACGUGCCAGCAGCCGCGGUAAUACGUAGGAGGCAAGCGUUAUCCGGAAUGACUGGGCGUAAAGGGUGCGUAGGUGGUUUGACAAGUUGGUAGCGUAACUCCGGGGCUCAACCUCGGCACUACUACCAAAACUGUCGGACUUGAGUGCAGGAGGGGCAAAUGGAAUUCCUAGUGUAGCGGUGGAAUGCGUAGAUAUUAGGAGGAACACCAGUGGCGAAGGCGAUUUGCUGGACUGUAACUGACACUGAGGCACGAAAGCGUGGGGAGCAAACAGGAUUAGAUACCCCAGUAGUC
RNAcentral lists this ribosomal RNA (443 nucleotides) under uncultured bacterium. RNAcentral's name for it is "partial 16S ribosomal RNA". It matches the Rfam family "Bacterial small subunit ribosomal RNA", at positions 338 to 795 of the family's 1533-position model. The record is from RNAcentral.